Hibiscus syriacus is the source of this 150-nucleotide long non-coding RNA. RefSeq lists it as uncharacterized. The transcript has 3 exons. Lineage: Eukaryota; Viridiplantae; Streptophyta; Magnoliopsida; Malvales; Malvaceae. The record is from RefSeq and is a predicted model, not a curated record.
AUUCAUGUCACUCAGCUUCCUAGUGAAAUGAAGGGCGAGAGAGAAAGGUUGGAAGUGAAGGGAAUUGGAAAGGAAUUGAAGAUAGUAAAAGGGUAAAAAUGGUAGAUCAGAGAAAGUUCAAGAGAAUUCUAAAGCAAGCAGAAGAAGAAA